Oxyura jamaicensis (ruddy duck) is the source of this 2897-nucleotide long non-coding RNA. RefSeq lists it as uncharacterized. The record is from RefSeq and is a predicted model, not a curated record. The transcript is spliced from 2 exons. Lineage: Eukaryota; Metazoa; Chordata; Aves; Anseriformes; Anatidae.
AGCAAAAUCUCAAGAACUCAAACUUUCUAGGGUUUUGUGGCAAUUCGGUUUUGGCUGUAGAAAACCAGCAAAACACCCUGACUGGUGUGAAAUAAUUCAUCUCUUGUGUACAUCUUAAAACAGGAAGAUGCUGUCUUGGAACAGAAGAGCUCUCAGUAUCCUCUAAAGAUUGUCUUACAACCUCAGUAACAAGGAGGCUUGGGUUUUUAGUAAGUUGUUUUCAUAUUUAAAAUUUCUGAACUCUAUUGAUUUAGAUUUCUGAAAUUAUAUUUUGUGCACAGUUGAUGGAGAUGCUGCAAGACUGAUGUUUAAUCAGCAUCACUGACGGAUCAGAUCAGCUUGUUUUUACAUGGAUUUUCUUCCUGAUGACCACAGUUAACUAUGGGUCUUUUUUAAAAUGACUGUAAAGUACUGAUUGCAUGGUUAUGGAGGCACAUUACUAGAAGCAAUGCCAACAUUUUACAACAUUUUACAGUUGUGCAGAUUCACGGCAUCUAAUCUACUGGUAGUGGUUUGUUGGUUUAGUUUAAUUUUAAAGUUGAAACCUGACAUGAUGCUUUAAUGGUUCAGUAGAGGGAGUUAUUUUGUUCUUUUAAACAUUAUUUAUGCCCUAAGAGAAUUGCUGGGCUGAGAAUCACAUUCUUCCCAUUGCUUCACUGUGGCAACAUUUCAGAUUUGACUGUAAGGAUGCAGCAGCACUGGAUGAGAAACAUUCAAUUUCUGUAUCUGCUCCCAUGCAACCAGUCUUCUGUGACAAAUGCAAAUUCUCAGUAAGAAUAUUUACUCAAAGAUUAAAACUCUAUUAGAUGCUUUGAUUAGACGCUUUGCAAAUAGACCACAGUAUACAAAUCAUGGGGUAAUAAAUAUAAUAUCUGUUCCUCCUGAAUUUGGCCUUGGGUUGGCAUUGUAUCUUAUUUCAAGUGUUCUACAAGUACUGUAGCUGCAAAGUGGUUGAUAGCUAAGAUCUUCUUUUUGGAGGGUAGCUUCCAAGGAAUGGCACAAGUAAUGGCAAGAAGAAAGAAGUUGGUGAUUUUGCUCCCAGGACAUAUGUGAAUCCAAAUAUUUGUGUAAAGAGCCUAUGGAGGGGGGGAUGAGGAAUAUAUAUAUAUAUAUAUACACACACACAUAUAUAUUUGUGUAUAUCUUAGAAGAAAUAGAUCUUUCAAGACACAAAAGAUUCAAAUCAAAUAUAAAUCCUAUACUUUAUUUUAUAUAUAUAUACACAUAUAUAGGUAUAAAUAUAAACAUGGGUGUAUAUAUACAUGGUCUGUGGCUCUGAUGCUUUUCAGCAGUUCCCUUUAGUGGAGAUGCAGUGCACUUCCCAUUGGGUGCAUCAUGACACUGGACCUGGGGCUAUCUGCCUGAUAACAUGCUUGGCAGAGGAGGAAACUAAGACACCAAAAGCUUUCACCAAGGCAAAAGUUCUGGUGGGGAUGAGCCCCUGUUGUCCCUGAGGUAAGAGGCAACCCUCUGGAUACAAUGCAGUGAGGCUGGAGGAUCUGCUGUCUAGUUGGCUCCACCUUCUUGUGAAAUGGCUUAAAUGACAACAUAAGGCACUGAACGAUUUGACUGUCAAGUUGAGAUACCAUAGCUACUUUAGCCAUUAAAUUAAGAUGGAAGUCAAAGAACCUAAAGAAAGGAAGAUGGGUUUCCUUAUCUAUAGCCUAGGGAAAAAGGUAAGACUCUUCACCAGGCACUUAGAGGUACUCUAGUUUAGGCAUCUGAAAGUGGAAUAAGGUGAACGUCUGUGUAGUUUGCCAAGGGUACAUAUGAUUGCCAUGUAAAAAAAAAUCUUUUUAUGACCUUUUGAAACAGCUUCCCCAUUUGCAAGGUGUGUUGGGAAACACAAGUACAAAAAGCAGUUGAAAUGCUGGUCAUUACUUCUGUUGCUGUUUUUUUCUGAGGUAGGAUUUUUUCCUUGUGUUUCUUAAGCAUUCAGUGAUUGUCUUUGAGGAUUGUAAUGGAAAUUAUCUUCACUGAUGAUCUUCAAAUAAAAGAAAUACAUGAUUUGGUGGUGCUACUUGAAGGUUGUGUUGUGUCUGUCGCACACCUGUGAUAUCACUGACAACUGUGGACAGUGACAGCACACUCAGAUUGUGUGAGAUGUAAACAAGUUCUGCAAUACACUCCUCAUUUCUCUUGUAGCUUUCCCAGACUUUUGCUUUGGGAGAAAGGGUAAAACAGACCACAUUUUCUAUUCUAUAGGAAGAAAGUGAAGGGUUACAUGCACAGCUGUAUGAAGCAAUGAGAAGUGAUGAGCAGCUCUCAGAGUGGGGGUGAGAUGCAUUUCACCAGGGGAAGCUGUAGGAAAUGGCUUCCCUUCUUCCUCCAAGAGAAAGACUUCUUCUGAGUAAGUAAACUUCUGCAGAUUGUUGUGGGUUUUGACUCAGCAUCACGUUCAGUCUUACCUGUUAUCUUUAGUGUGGACUGUAAAGUGUUCAGUCUUCAAGAUUGAUUCAACUAAAGGGCAGAACACAGUUAUGGAAAAGUAAUGUAACAUUAAAGAGCUAAGAGUUGACUGAAGGAAGUGUGUGAACAGAGUAUUUGUUCGUGGUUAUAGGGUUAUGGAGGAGUUACUGUUAUUUAUUGCUUCAGCAGAUCUUCGGUAAGUUUACGUUUACUGGAAAUCUCCCUCCUCAUUAUCUGUAAAAGGAGGGAAAAUGUGAUAAAAACUGUCUGAGUUAUUUCUUCCCAAUUUGUGAGUGCUACUUUACCUAACAAGUGACUGGAACAGAGGGAUGUCAGCUGCUAGGGGAACUGCUUAUCCCAUGGCAUGGCUGGGAGUGUUUGAGGAGGGGAGGCUGCAGAGGGUCAUGGAUGGAAAGGGUAAGAAACUUGCUGAGGUCCUGCAACAAAGCAGCACUAAGCUUUGCCUUUCUGUGGUUUAAAAAAAUAAU